Gossypium hirsutum (cotton) is the source of this 107-nucleotide non-coding RNA. The record is from Rfam. NCBI's taxonomy places the organism in Eukaryota, Viridiplantae, Streptophyta, Magnoliopsida, Malvales, Malvaceae.
AUUCUGUAAUGAGGGCACUUUCAUAAUAAUUCUCUCUACCUUUCCCAUGCCUCAUACAAGGACUUAUCAUCUAUUUGUUGGAAGGCAGUGAUCUCAUUUCUCAACUU